UACGGAGGGUGCAAGCGUUAUUCGGAUUUAUUGGGCGUAAAGAGCGUGUAGGCGGUUGGGUUAGUCAGAUGUGAAAUCCUUCUGCUCAACGGAAGAAGUACGUCUGAAACUGCCUAACUUGAGUACGAGAGAGGAAAGUGGAAUUCCCAGUGUAGAGGUGAAAUUCGUAGAUAUUGGGAGGAACACCUGUGGCGAAGGCGACUUUCUGGAUCGAUACUGACGCUGAGACGCGAAAGCGUGGGGAGCAAACAGG
RNAcentral lists this ribosomal RNA (253 nucleotides) under uncultured bacterium. Its description in RNAcentral is "partial 16S ribosomal RNA". It matches the Rfam family "Bacterial small subunit ribosomal RNA", at positions 524 to 776 of the family's 1533-position model. The record is from RNAcentral.